AGAGUUUGAUCCCGGCUCAGAAUCAACGCUGGCGGCGCGCUUAACACAUGCAAGUCGAACGAGAAAGGGAGCAAUCCUGAGUAAAGUGGCGUACUGGUGAGUAACACGUGGAUAUCUACCUCCUGGUGGGGAAUAACCUGGGGAAACCUGGGCUAAUACCGCAUAAGUUCGAGAGAAGAAAGGCGCAAGUCGCCGGGAGAGGAGUCCGCGGUCGAUUAGGUAGUUGGCGGGGUAAAAGCCCACCAAGCCAAAGAUCGAUAGCCGGCCUGAGAGGGCACACGGCCACACUGGCACUGAAACACGGGCCAGACUCCUACGGGAGGCAGCAGUGGGGAAUCUUGCACAAUGGGGGAAACCCUGAUGCAGCGACGCCGCGUGAGCGAUGAAGCCCUUCGGGGUGUAAAGCUCUUUCGGCAGGAACGAUAAUGACGGUACCUGCAGAAGAAGCUGCGGCUAACUACGUGCCAGCAGCCGCGGUAAUACGUAGGCAGCGAGCGUUGUUCGGAAUUACUGGGCGUAAAGAGUGUGUAGGUGGUGUCGUAAGUUUGGUGUGAAAUCUCCCGGCUCAACUGGGAGGGUGCGCCGAAGACUGCGAUGCUGGGGUAUGGGAGAGGAAAGCGGAAUUCCUGGUGUAGCGGUGAAAUGCGUAGAUAUCAGGAGGAACACCUGCGGUGUAGACGGCUUUCUGGACCAUUACUGACACUGAGACACGAAAGCGUGGGUAGCAAACAGGAUUAGAUACCCUGGUAGUCCACGCCCUAAACGAUGCAUACUUGGUGUGAGCCAUUCAGUUGGUUCGUGCCGGAGCUAACGCGUUAAGUAUGCCGCCUGGGGAGUACGGUCGCAAGGCUGAAACUUAAAGGAAUUGACGGAAGGGCACCACCAGGAGUGGAGCCUGCGGCUUAAUUUGACCCAACACGGGAAAACUUACCAGGUCCGGACAUAGUGAGGAUUGACAGAUUGAAGAUCUUUCUUGAUUCUAUGGGUGGUGGUGCAUGGCCGUUCUUAGUUGGUGGAGUGAUUUGUCUGGUUAAUUCCGUUAACGAACGAGACCUCGACCUGCUAAAUAGUUUCAUAAAUCCUUCGGGAUUUGCUGUAGACUUCUUAGAGGGACUAUCGGUGUGUAGCCGAUGGAAGUUCGAGGCAAUAACAGGUCUGUGAUGCCCUUAGAUGCCCUGGGCCGCACGCGCGCUACACUGAUGCGUUCAUCGAGCUUACAACCUUGACUGAAAGGUCUGGGUAAUCUUUUGAAAUCGCAUCGUGCUGGGGAUAGAUGAUUGUAAUUAUUCAUCUUCAACGAGGAAUUCCUAGUAAACGCAAGUCAUUAGCUUGCAUUGAUUACGUCCCUGCCCUUUGUACACACCG
RNAcentral lists this ribosomal RNA (1365 nucleotides) under metagenome. Its description in RNAcentral is "bacterial SSU rRNA". It matches the Rfam family "Bacterial small subunit ribosomal RNA". The record is from RNAcentral.